UACAGAGGGUGCGAGCGUUGUCCGGAAUCACUGGGCGUAAAGGGCGCGUAGGUGGCUCGGUUAGCGUGUGGUGAAAGUCCGGGGCUCAACCCCGGAUCUGCCGUGCGAACUGCCGGGCUCGAGCACUGUAGAGGCAGGUGGAAUUCCGGGUGUAGCGGUGGAAUGCGUAGAGAUCCGGAAGAACACCAGUGGCGAAGGCGGCCUGCUGGGCAGUCGCUGACACUGAGGCGCGACAGCGUGGGGAGCAAACAGG
This 253-nucleotide ribosomal RNA is filed under the name uncultured bacterium. RNAcentral describes it as "partial 16S ribosomal RNA". It matches the Rfam family "Bacterial small subunit ribosomal RNA", at positions 524 to 776 of the family's 1533-position model. The record is from RNAcentral.